AAAAGAUGAUGAUCGGCCGUGUAGUUAACGAGAUGGAGGUAGGCGUGCCUGCUGAUGAUAUUUGGGCUGUGUAUAGCUCGCCGGAGCUGCCCAGACUCUUCGUCCAGCUUAUGCCCAAUGUCAUCAAGAAAAUUGAUAUUCUUCAGGGUGAUGGAACGGGAUGCCGGAGCCACGUACAUGGAAGGAAAAGUUCAUAAAGAUUGAUCAUCAACACCGGGAGAAGGUGGUCCGACAAAUUGAAGGAGGAUUUCUUGAUAUGGGGUUUCGUGUGUUUCAUGUUAUCUUCAAAAUCAUAGAGAAAGACGCCUGUUCGUGCAUCAUUCAUCCACCACUGCUUUCGAACUCGAUGAGAAAUUCGAAAACAACGCUAAUCUUAUUACUGCUGGUAAUUUAUGGGGAACGGCCAAAGCAAUUUCAAACUAUGUCAUUCAGAACAAAUCAAAGGGGAGAAACCACUAAGUCCACCGAAUUUUAUGAUUCUUGAUUCAGUGUGUAUAAAAUGUAAUUCAAUAAUUGAUCAUCACAUGCCUGGAAUUCUGGAAAUCACAAAAAUUUCGGUUGCAUAUUAAAAUA
Molecule: non-coding RNA, 573 nt
Organism: Nelumbo nucifera (sacred lotus)
Lineage: Eukaryota; Viridiplantae; Streptophyta; Magnoliopsida; Proteales; Nelumbonaceae
Source: RefSeq, a predicted model, not a curated record